GACGAACGCUGGCGGCGUGCCUAAUACAUGCAAGUAGAACGCUGAAGGAGGAGCUUGCUUCUCUGGAUGAGUUGCGAACGGGUGAGUAACGCGUAGGUAACCUGCCUGGUAGCGGGGGAUAACUAUUGGAAACGAUAGCUAAUACCGCAUAAUAGUAGAUGUCGCAUGACAUUUGCUUAAAAGGUGCAAUUGCAUCACUACCAGAUGGACCUGCGUUGUAUUAGCUAGUUGGUGAGGUAACGGCUCACCAAGGCAACGAUACAUAGCCGACCUGAGAGGGUGAUCGGCCACACUGGGACUGAGACACGGCCCAGACUCCUACGGGAGGCAGCAGUAGGGAAUCUUCGGCAAUGGACGGAAGUCUGACCGAGCAACGCCGCGUGAGUGAAGAAGGUUUUCGGAUCGUAAAGCCCUGUUGUAAGAGAAGAAACGAGUGUGAGAGUGGAAAGGUCAC
This 454-nucleotide ribosomal RNA is filed under the name Streptococcus mitis. Its description in RNAcentral is "bacterial SSU rRNA". It matches the Rfam family "Bacterial small subunit ribosomal RNA", at positions 28 to 467 of the family's 1533-position model. The record is from RNAcentral. Lineage: Bacteria; Bacillati; Bacillota; Bacilli; Lactobacillales; Streptococcaceae.